AAAGAGUUAUUCUGGUUAUUAUCUAUAUAUACAUUUUUGCAGCUAUUUUAGCAAAUAAAUCAUGUACUUGACACUUAUUUACUAUUCAAUGUUA
RNAcentral lists this small RNA (94 nucleotides) under Arabidopsis thaliana (thale cress). Its description in RNAcentral is "ATSL209060". The record is from RNAcentral. Lineage: Eukaryota; Viridiplantae; Streptophyta; Magnoliopsida; Brassicales; Brassicaceae.